GUCGAGGAGGAUAAACGCGAUGGAAGAAGAACACAAUCGACGAGUUCAAGUUGGGGAUAAGGAACCAUCGACGAUAUGACAAGGAAGUGAUAAAACAGGGAUACCUAUAUCUGAGUCUUUGGAAGAUUGGGGAAAAGAAAUGUUUUUGACAGUGACAAUAUCUGGCUCAAUUUGCUCUGAUACCAGAGUAAUUAAUUAGCGAAUCAAGUCGCUCUCUGAAGGGAUAUCUGAGUCAUUGUUUUCAUAGUUUGUUAAACGAAUCUCUCUUGGAAAUGAAAUGAAGAAAUUGUGAAAAAAGACAGGGAUAAUAAAUGAAGACGGGCAGAUGAUUUUUUAGGGUUUAUUAGGUUUUUUUAAUUAUUGUUUUAGGAGUUUUGUUUUAUGCUUUUGGGCCUCGGCCUUUUUCCCUUUUAUUUGUUUUAUU
Molecule: long non-coding RNA, 424 nt
Filed under: Gossypium barbadense (sea-island cotton)
Lineage: Eukaryota; Viridiplantae; Streptophyta; Magnoliopsida; Malvales; Malvaceae
Description: long non-coding RNA (GBAR_LNC008597)
Source: RNAcentral